RNAcentral lists this ribosomal RNA (372 nucleotides) under uncultured organism. Its description in RNAcentral is "bacterial SSU rRNA". It matches the Rfam family "Bacterial small subunit ribosomal RNA", at positions 526 to 896 of the family's 1533-position model. The record is from RNAcentral.
CAGAGGGUGCAAACGUUGUUCGGAAUUACUGGGCGUAAAGCGCGUGUAGGCGGCAUGACAAGUCGGAUGUGAAAGCCCUGGGCUCAACCCAGGAAGUGCACUCGAUACUGCCGUGCUGGAGUCUCGGAGAGGGUGGUGGAACUCUCGGUGUAGAGGUGAAAUUCGUAGAUAUCGAGAAGAACACCGGCGGCGAAGGCGGCCACCUGGACGAUGACUGACGCUGAGACGCGAAAGCGUGGGGAGCAAACAGGAUUAGAUACCCUGGUAGUCCACGCCGUAAACGAUGGGUGCUAGGUGUCACGGGUAUUGACCCCUGUGGCGCCGUAGCUAACGCAUUAAGCACCCCGCCUGGGAAGUACGGCCGCAAGGCUA